GAUGAACGCUGGCGGCGUGCCUAAUACAUGCAAGUCGAACGAGGUGCUUUUGUAGCAAUACGAAAGUAUCCUAGUGGCGAACGGGUGAGUAACGCGUUGGUGACCUACCCCAAAGUGUGGGAUAACAGUUCGAAAGAACUGCUAAUACCGCAUGUGGUUAUCGGAUUUAGAAACUGAUAACUAAAGGAGCAAUUCGCUUUGGGAGGGACCUGCGUCCCAUCAGCUAGUUGGUGAGGUAAUGGCUCACCAAGGCUACGACGGGUAGGGGACCUGAGAGGGUGACCCCCCACAAUAGGACGUAGAACAACGGUCCGAUACACCUACGGGUGGGCGAGCAGUAGGGAAGUAAUUGUC
This 354-nucleotide ribosomal RNA is filed under the name uncultured bacterium. RNAcentral's name for it is "bacterial SSU rRNA". It matches the Rfam family "Bacterial small subunit ribosomal RNA", at positions 28 to 369 of the family's 1533-position model. The record is from RNAcentral.